UACGUAGGGUGCAAGCGUUGUCCGGAAUUAUUGGGCGUAAAGAGCUCGUAGGCGGUUUGUCGCGUCUGCUGUGAAAACUCGGGGCUUAACCCCGGGCCUGCAGUCGAUACGGGCAGACUGGAGUUCGGCAGGGGAGACUGGAAUUCCUGGUGUAGCGGUGAAAUGCGCAGAUAUCAGGAAGAACACCCGUGGCUAAGGCGGCUCUCUAGUACGGUACUGACGCUGAGACGCGAAAGCGUGGGGAGCGAACAGG
Molecule: ribosomal RNA, 253 nt
Filed under: uncultured bacterium
Lineage: Bacteria
Description: partial 16S ribosomal RNA
Rfam family: Bacterial small subunit ribosomal RNA
Source: RNAcentral